Molecule: ribosomal RNA, 429 nt
Filed under: bacterium
Lineage: Bacteria
Description: partial 16S ribosomal RNA
Rfam family: Bacterial small subunit ribosomal RNA
Source: RNAcentral
UAGGGAAUCUUCGGCAAUGGGGGCAACCCUGACCGAGCAACGCCGCGUGAGUGAAGAAGGUUUUCGGGUCGUAAAGCUCUGUUGUAAGAGAAGAACGUGUGUGAGAGUGGAAAGUUCACACAGUGACGGUAACUUACCAGAAAGGGACGGCUAACUACGUGCCAGCAGCCGCGGUAAUACGUAGGUCCCGAGCGUUGUCCGGAUUUAUUGGGCGUAAAGCGAGCGCAGGCGGUUUUAUAAGUCUGAAGUUAAAGGCAGUGGCUUAACCAUUGUUCGCUUUGGAAACUGUUAAACUUGAGUGCAGAAGGGGAGAGUGGAAUUCCAUGUGUAGCGGUGAAAUGCGUAGAUAUAUGGAGGAACACCGGUGGCGAAAGCGGCUCUCUGGUCUGUAACUGACGCUGAGGCUCGAAAGCGUGGGGAGCAAACAGG